Molecule: ribosomal RNA, 492 nt
Filed under: uncultured bacterium
Lineage: Bacteria
Description: partial 16S ribosomal RNA
Rfam family: Bacterial small subunit ribosomal RNA
Source: RNAcentral
AGUGAACGCUGGCGGUAGGCCUAACACAUGCAAGUCGAACGGCAACACACUAAGAUCUUGCUCUUACGGGUUGCGGGUCGCGUACGUAAGACGUAUGCAUCGUGAUCUACUUUUUCGUGUAGCUUAACGAAAGUGAACUUACUCCAAUACCGCAUACGACCUUCCGUGGAGAGCAUUGGAUCGUCUCACCUUUCGGGGUUGGAUUAGCCGAUGUCGGGUUGGAUAGUUGGCGGGUUAAUUGCCCACCCAGUCGACGAUCCGUAGCCUGACGGAGAGGAUGAUAAGCGACACUGGAACUGAGACACGGUCAAGGCUCCUAAGGGAGGCAGCAGUGGGGAAUAUUGGACAAUGGGCGCAAGUCUGAUACAGCGAGACCGCGUGGGUGACGAAGGCGUUCGGGUUGUAAAGACCUUUUGUUGGGAAAGAAAAGCAGCAGGUUAAGACGAAGCUGUACUGACGGUACCGAAAGAAGAAGCACCGGCUAACUUCGUG